CCCACGGGUGGCUGCAGUGGGGAAUAUUGGACAAUGGGGGGAACCCUGAUCCAGCCAUGCCGCGUGUGUGAAGAAGGCCCUCGGGUUGUAAAGCACUUUCAGUGAGGAAGAACGCCUGGUGGUUAAUACCCAUCAGGAAAGACAUCACUCACAGAAGAAGCACCGGCUAACUCCGUGCCAGCAGCCGCGGUAAUACGGAGGGUGCGAGCGUUAAUCGGAAUUACUGGGCGUAAAGCGCGCGUAGGUGGCUUGAUAAGCCGGUUGUGAAAGCCCCGGGCUCAACCUGGGAACGGCAUCCGGAACUGUCAAGCUAGAGUGCAGGAGAGGAAGGUAGAAUUCCCGGUGUAGCGGUGAAAUGCGUAGAGAUCGGGAGGAAUACCAGUGGCGAAGGCGGCCUUCUGGACUGACACUGACACUGAGGUGCGAAAGCGUGGGUAGCAAACAGGAUUAGAUACCCUAGUAGUC
This 465-nucleotide ribosomal RNA is filed under the name Vreelandella stevensii. Its description in RNAcentral is "partial 16S ribosomal RNA". It matches the Rfam family "Bacterial small subunit ribosomal RNA", at positions 338 to 795 of the family's 1533-position model. Lineage: Bacteria; Pseudomonadati; Pseudomonadota; Gammaproteobacteria; Oceanospirillales; Halomonadaceae. The record is from RNAcentral.